This 231-nucleotide ribosomal RNA is filed under the name uncultured bacterium. RNAcentral's name for it is "partial 16S ribosomal RNA". It matches the Rfam family "Bacterial small subunit ribosomal RNA", at positions 99 to 334 of the family's 1533-position model. The record is from RNAcentral.
CGGACGGGUGAGUAUGUCUGGGAAACUGCCCGAUGGAGGGGGAUAACUACUGGAAACGGUAGCUAAUACCGCAUAACGUCGCAAGACCAAAGAGGGGGACCUUAGGGCCUCUUGCCAUCGGAUGUGCCCAGAUGGGAUUAGCUAGUAGGUGGGGUAAUGGCUCACCUAGGCGACGAUCCCUAGCUGGUCUGAGAGGAUGACCAGCCACACUGGAACUGAGACACGGUCCAG